GCGGAUAUGCUGCAACUUUCAUGCUUAAUUUUCUCAGUCAUCUGGGUAUGUAGUAAUCUAAUUUUAUGCAAUGUAAUGUGCUAUUUUUUCAAGCGCUUUUCAAUGCAGUUAUCGGUUUAAAUAUACCUAAAAUUCCCGUUCAGAGAUAUGACAAUUGCCGUACGGCCUACUUUUACGCAAACGAAAAUUUAAUUUAGCUACAAUUGCAAAAAUUUCAUGCUUAAUUUUCUCUGUUAUCUGGGUAUGUAGUAAUCUAAUUUUAUGCAAUGUAAUGUGCUGUUUUUUCAAGGACUUCUCAAUGCAGUUAUCGGUUUAAAUAUAACUCAAAUUCCCGUUGAGAUAUGACAAUUGCCUUACGGACUACUUCCACGCAAACGCAAAUUACAACUGCAAAUUUCAUCAGCACAUCACAUUGGCAUAAAAUUACAUUACUACAUGCCCGGAUAACAGAGAAAAUUAAGCAUGAAAGUGGCAAUUGUAGCUAAUUUUCGUUUGCGCAAAAGUAGGCCGUACGGCAAUUGUCAUAUCUCUUAACGGGAAUUUUAGGUAUAUUUAAACCGAUAACUGCAUUGAAAAGCCCUUGAAAAUAUAACACAUUAC
Non-coding RNA from Paramuricea clavata, 600 nucleotides. Lineage: Eukaryota; Metazoa; Cnidaria; Anthozoa; Malacalcyonacea; Plexauridae. The record is from the annotation of a GenBank genome assembly.